RNAcentral lists this ribosomal RNA (497 nucleotides) under uncultured bacterium. RNAcentral describes it as "partial 16S ribosomal RNA". It matches the Rfam family "Bacterial small subunit ribosomal RNA", at positions 28 to 507 of the family's 1533-position model. The record is from RNAcentral.
GACGAACGCUGGCGGCGUGCCUAAUACAUGCAAGUUGAGCGCUGAAGGUUGGUACUUGUACCAACUGGAUGAGCAGCGAACGGGUGAGUAACGCGUGGGGAAUCUGCCUUUGAGCGGGGGUCAACAUUUGGAAACGAAUGCUAAUACCGCAUAAAAACUUUAAACACAAGUUUUAAGUUUGAAGGAUGCAAUUGCAUCACUCAAAGAUGAUCCCGCGUUGUAUUAGCUAGUUGGUGAGGUAAAGGCUCACCAAGGCGAUGAUACAUAGCCGACCUGAGAGGGUGAUCGGCCACAUUGGGACUGAGACACGGCCCAAACUCCUACGGGAGGCAGCAGUAGGGAAUCUUCGGCAAUGGACGAAAGUCUGACCGAGCAACGCCGCGUGAGUGAAGAAGGUUUUCGGAUCGUAAAACUCUGUUGGUAGAGAAGAACGUUGGUGAGAGUGGAAAGCUCAUCAAGUGACGGUAACUACCCAGAAAGGGACGGCUAACUACGUG